RNAcentral lists this ribosomal RNA (490 nucleotides) under uncultured bacterium. RNAcentral describes it as "partial 16S ribosomal RNA". It matches the Rfam family "Bacterial small subunit ribosomal RNA", at positions 30 to 507 of the family's 1533-position model. The record is from RNAcentral.
AUUGAACGCUGGCGGCAGGCCUAACACAUGCAAGUCGAACGGUAACAGGAAGAAGCUUGCUUCUUUGCUGACGAGUGGCGGACGGGUGAGUAAUGUCUGGGAAACUGCCUGAUGGAGGGGGAUAACUACUGUAAACGGUAGCUAAUACCGCAUAACGUCGCAAGACCAAAGAGGGGGACCUUCGGGCCUCUUGCCAUCGGAUGUGCCCAGAUGGGAUUAGCUAGUAGGUGGGGUAACGGCUCACCUAGGCGACGAUCCCUAGCUGGUCUGAGAGGAUGACCAGCCACACUGGAACUGAGACACGGUCCAGACUCCUACGGGAGGCAGCAGUGGGGAAUAUUGCACAAAGGGCGCAAGCCUGAUGCAGCCAUGCCGCGUGUAUGAAGAAGGCCUUCGGGUUGUAAAGUACUUUCAGCGGGGAGGGAGGGAGUAAAGUUAAUACCUUUGCUCAUUGACGUUACCCGCAGAAGAAGCACCGGCUAACUCCGUG